GAUAUUCGCAAUAUUGGAAGAAUACUUCAGUCCUCGCCCGCAUUUUGGAACCCCUCCUUCCCGAAACGAAACCCUUCCUCCUCUCACCAUGGCCGCCGCCGCCGCCCUCCGCCAGAGCCCCGUCCUUCUCCUCCGCCGCCAGUUCCUCCUCCGCCUCCUCUCCACCCAAACCCAGCUCCAAACCCCCGCCGAGCUCUCCCGCCUCAAGUCCUCCAUCCGCAACGCCGCCACCACGCCGGACGACCUCGCCUCCCUCUUCCUCUCCGCCCUCCCUCACCCCGCCUUCCUCGCCGACCGCCCCCUCUUCGCCCUCUCCGUCCACCGCCUCGCCUCCGCCGGCCGCCGCGACCUCGUCGCCUCCAUCCUCUCCUCCUCCCUCACCGCCCUCCCCAAGCCCCACCCUUCCGAGGGUUUCCUCAUCCGCCUCAUCUCCCUCUACUCCGCCGCCGCCAUGCCCGACCACUCCCUCACCGCCUUCCGCCUCGUCGACCCGCCCUCUGACCGCGCGCUCUCCGCGCUUCUCUCCGCCUACCACGACAACCGCCUCUACGACCGCGCCGUCCAAGCCUUCAACACCCUCCCCGCCGAGCUCGCCAUCAAGCCGGGCGUCGUCUCCCACAACGUCCUUCUCAAAUCCCUCGUCGCCAGUGGGGACGUAGCUGCCGCCCGCGUCGUGUUCGACGAAAUGCCAGAAAAGGCAGGCCUCCAGCCGGACAUCGUUUCCUGCAACGAGAUCCUCAAGGGAUACCUCAACAACGGUGACGCCGCCGCCUUCGAUGAGCUACUUAAGGAGAUUACUGGUCCCAAGAGGAGGCUGAAGCCCAACGUCGUGACCUACAACCUACGGAUGACUGCGCAGUUUGCGAAAGGGAGGAGCUUUGAGGCUGAGGAGCUUCUGGAUGCCAUGGGGGCGAAGGGGGUGUGGCCCAACCGGGCGAGCUUCAACACAGUCAUCAAGGGACUCUGCAACGACGGGGAGGUGGGUGCUGCCAUGGCGCUAUUCAGAAAGAUGCCGGAGGUGCCCAGGCAUAACGGCACAGGGGUGUCGCCCAACUUUGAGACCUACAUUACGCUGCUUGAGGCGCUGGUCAACAAGGGCAUGUUCGAUCCUGCUUUGGAGGUCUGCAAGGAGUGCCUGCAAAACAAGUGGGCACCACCAUUCCAAGCUGUCGAAGGGUUGGUUCAGGGCUUGGUCAAGAGCAGGAAGGCCAAGCAGGCAAAGGAUCUUUACAUGGCCAUGAGGAAGGCCGUCAAGGGCGACUCCAAAGAGGAGUGGAUGAAAGUUGAGGCUGAGUUUCCAUUGGUGCUUGCUGACAAGAAAGCGUAACUGCGAGGAACCAUGCAUGACAUAGUUGAAUAGGUCAUCAUGUAUGCUUAAUUAUGACAUUCUGCAGGCUAUAUAUCCUUGGUCGGGUGGUAUCAAGUUGAAGGUAAGUAACACUAUUACCUAUAUUUUGGCAAACAGAAAUAAGGUAAUAUUUAUGAUUAGGCUCUCCCAUUAACAUGUUAUCUGCGUAACUCAAUGUUGUCAUGUGGUUACAUCUUGCAACAUGGAUCUGCUAGAUGGUAUUUUGUGUUUUGUGACAUGUCUACCCUGUUUGCAUAUCAAUUUCAUCAUUUUAAGAUAUCACUCCGGAACUUCACACCUCGUUGUGACUUGUGAGAACAUUGAAGGACUAACAAGUUGUAUCUAGGUUUAUCACUUUUUUUUUUUGGUUCAUUUGGAGAGACUCGAAGGAAUGGAAUAUCUAGAAAGAACUAUCCACGGAUAGAAGCACGUGAAGGUUAGAAUCUACAUGUCAAAAUCAUAACUUAUGCUUCAGUCUUCUUGUACCGUUAUUACUUUUAUUUUUUACUAUUACUAGCACAUUUAUUAUCAUUAUUAUUUUUUUUAUCAUCUUUUAGUUGGAUCUUAUGGGUUUCAUCUUUAGCCUACCUAACUUGCUUGGGACAAAAGCUUUGUUGUUAUUAUUGUUGUUGUUGUUGUGGGUUCAUUUGAAGAGUGAGUAGGUUGUUACCUACUGGUGAUUCACGACCAUUUUCUUUUGUCGGAUAUCAUCGGCAAGUGGCUCUAAUUUCUGAUGAUCUGUCUCCUGGAAUAUUCAAGGGUGACCUGAGAGAGGCUCGAUCGUUGCUUUGGAUAUCUCCUGUGUAGUUUUCAGUGUCAAAUCUUGCAGUUGCGCCUGUGUUUGUGGAGGCUACCCUUCUGCUUUGUUUUGUUUUGACAGUAUCCAUACCCUGCAUAUAUGAUGCUUCGAUUUGUGACAUCUGUGGUUCUUGCUCUUGCGAAUCUAUGCUUCUUUUUUAUUCCUUUUCUUGAAUUCACCAAGUUUUUGUUUAUUUAAGGACAUGCACAGCCGCAACAUAUGAAUUUGCGAGUGUAUGUUAUAACAUUUCUGUAUUUUGGCACCUAUGUGUGUGUGUGUGUAUAUACACACACUCAUAAUUAAUGCUACAGGUGGUUUUAGGGGGCGCACUGCAGUUUUAGAUUAUACAGUACACAGCAUAGCACAUCAACUUUAGGUUAUUUUUUUCCCAAUUUAUUUUGUAGCAAAAUUACAUGGAAAAUAUUAUGCAGCCAUAAUUAAUGGCGUCGGUGGUAUUGGUGGAUGCAUCAUCGUUUUUCAGCUUGAUCAAUGUUGAACAUGCACCUACAUCAAUAUUAGCAACAUUAGUGGUUCAGUGUAUGCGCUAUUUUAGAAUAUGCACACAUCACAUGGAUAUACACAACUUACACUUGUGUGGUAUAUAUUUCAUAGUUCAACCGAACCUUUGCAACGUGAUGUAAUGCUUGAAACACUAUGCAACAACAAAUAGUGGCAUCAAUUGUUUGUGGAUACGUCAUAAUUUUGGGAUUUGCAUACUGCGUCACACGGAUACACAUCAAAAUAACUUAAGGAGCAUUUAUUUUCCAUGCUAAACCAAAUCUUGCAAUGUCCAUUUCAUCAUGCUUAGAUUCCGCGCAACAACAAAAAAGUGACAUUGUUGGUUUUAUUGGUUGCAUCACAUUCCAUGAAUAUGCAUACUCUGUUGUCAUGUGGAUACACUGCUUAUGAAGUGUUUAUUUUCUAGUUUAAUCAAUUCUUGUAAUAUACAGUUACAUCAUGAUUAGAGACAAGGUUCCAAAGGGUGUUAGGCGCUAGUCCACUGCCUAGCGACUAGGGUGUCUAAGCGUAGAUUAAGCAUGCUUAAGCGCUACAUAUUGUAUGAAU
Phragmites australis (common reed) is the source of this 3212-nucleotide RNA transcript. It is a transcript of the gene named small ribosomal subunit protein mS86 (rPPR1)-like, with no coding region annotated. NCBI's taxonomy places the organism in Eukaryota, Viridiplantae, Streptophyta, Magnoliopsida, Poales, Poaceae. The transcript has 2 exons. The record is from RefSeq and is a predicted model, not a curated record.